RNAcentral lists this ribosomal RNA (177 nucleotides) under uncultured bacterium. RNAcentral's name for it is "partial 16S ribosomal RNA". It matches the Rfam family "Bacterial small subunit ribosomal RNA", at positions 1324 to 1500 of the family's 1533-position model. The record is from RNAcentral.
AGUCGGAAUUGCUAGUAAUGGCAGGUCAGCAUACUGCCGUGAAUACGUUCCCGGGCCGUUGUACACACCGCCCGUCACACCAUGAGAGUUGGAGAUACCCGAAGCCUAUGAGCUAACUUUUAGAGGCAGUAGUCGAAGGUAGAAUCAAUGAUUGGGGUGAAGUCGUAACAAGGUAAC